This 524-nucleotide ribosomal RNA is filed under the name Escherichia coli. RNAcentral describes it as "partial 23S ribosomal RNA". It matches the Rfam family "Bacterial large subunit ribosomal RNA", at positions 711 to 1233 of the family's 2925-position model. Lineage: Bacteria; Pseudomonadati; Pseudomonadota; Gammaproteobacteria; Enterobacterales; Enterobacteriaceae. The record is from RNAcentral.
AGACCCGAAACCCGGUGAUCUAGCCAUGGGCAGGUUGAAGGUUGGGUAACACUAACUGGAGGACCGAACCGACUAAUGUUGAAAAAUUAGCGGAUGACUUGUGGCUGGGGGUGAAAGGCCAAUCAAACCGGGAGAUAGCUGGUUCUCCCCGAAAGCUAUUUAGGUAGCGCCUCGUGAAUUCAUCUCCGGGGGUAGAGCACUGUUUCGGCAAGGGGGUCAUCCCGACUUACCAACCCGAUGCAAACUGCGAAUACCGGAGAAUGUUAUCACGGGAGACACACGGCGGGUGCUAACGUCCGUCGUGAAGAGGGAAACAACCCAGACCGCCAGCUAAGGUCCCAAAGUCAUGGUUAAGUGGGAAACGAUGUGGGAAGGCCCAGACAGCCAGGAUGUUGGCUUAGAAGCAGCCAUCAUUUAAAGAAAGCGUAAUAGCUCACUGGUCGAGUCGGCCUGCGCGGAAGAUGUAACGGGGCUAAACCAUGCACCGAAGCUGCGGCAGCGACACUGUGUGUUGUUGGGUAGGG